AAAAAGGACAGUGCAUAUAGAACUCGA
RNAcentral lists this non-coding RNA (27 nucleotides) under Cricetulus griseus (Chinese hamster). The record is from RNAcentral. Lineage: Eukaryota; Metazoa; Chordata; Mammalia; Rodentia; Cricetidae.